RNAcentral lists this long non-coding RNA (430 nucleotides) under Spirodela polyrhiza (greater duckweed). RNAcentral describes it as "long non-coding RNA (SPOL_LNC000624)". Lineage: Eukaryota; Viridiplantae; Streptophyta; Magnoliopsida; Alismatales; Araceae. The record is from RNAcentral.
AAUGAAAGCCGAGCCGUGAUGCGAUCGUUGACUCACCUCAUCUCUCUCUCUCUCUCUCUCUCUCUCUCUCUGUCUGACCAGGUGGUAAGAGAGGAGGCGUGGAGGGAGAAAAGCAGGGCACCCAUGAAGCCAAGAUGGGUAAUUUAUGCUGACGGGGCACCUCCGGCUGAUGACACAUCAGCUGUAUAGGAAGAGGAGCUGGCUCGGACGAAUCCGUGUUGUUUGUAAUUUGUUCUUCUUUCAUAAGAUCCAGGGAGGAAAAUAGAAAAAAUGAGAGUUGCAUAUGUGGACGAUGAUGAAGGGUUUAGAUCCGUUGAUCCAACGUAGUCGUAAGCGGGAUCGACGGUGGUUGAUUGGGGCACCUGAUCCUCCCCAUUAAUAGAUGGAGUCCAUUAUUUCUACAUACAUAUCAAUAGAGAAUGAAAUUAGG